GGGCUAUUUCAGCUCUCAGCUCACGGAUCAGUUUGACGUUAGGAUCUUCAUUAAUAGUAGGCUUGUUGAUGAUGUUUUUGGCUCUAUUUGCAUAGCGAAGUGUACUUAAAGUUUCUCCAUAAUUGACAUCAGCAGGUGAAAUAGUGGCAAUCAUUAUAGUUUUAGAGUUUCCUCCUAGGCUAUCUUUUAACAGCCAAGUCAACACAGAGUCUCUGUAAGGCACAAAUACUUGCUUCUUCUUUGAAAGAGGAUUUGUUGCAUCCUGAGAUAAAUCAGCUAAGGCAGAAAUGACAUUUCCCAGAGUAACGAGAGAUUUGUUAAUAUUCCCGCCUUCCUUUAAUCUAACUCCUGUGGCACCAGUGGCAUCUGCUCUCUCACUUCCAGCAAGAUCUACCAAAUGAAUCUUGCUAACAGUCUCACAAGGCAUUUCAGAAUCAAAUUUAGCCUGAGUGAAGUUGAUUGUGAAAAUGGCAUGAGACCUGCUGCUGACAUCAUUCAUUCCAGUUGCAGCUGUAGUUCUGUUUAUAUUUCCUGCAUCCAUAAGUUCUUCUAUAUCACCAUAAUUUUGCACUAAAUGUUUAGACAAAUCUUCAACAUACGGUCCCUCUUUUGGAUGUUCUCGGAUUCGUAAAUUAUUCGUUUUUGAUGACUUCCGCCUGAGCAGAUCUCUCACACGUUCAUUAUAGAUUUCCAGAUAGCUCACUUCUGUUCGAAAGGACGCCUCAUUCCGUUUUGUUUUUUCACUUAUUUUGCUGAAUAACCCUUCACAAAUCCGAGGUAUUAAGCCAGCAUCACCCGCAUUUCCCAUCAUGGUGUAGGACUUCCCAGAUCCAGUCUGUCCAUAUGCAAAAACACAAGCAUUAUAACCUUCAAAAGCAGAUUGAAGCACAUCUGUACCAAGGUUUUUGAAAACCGUUUCUUGACAAACAAAGCUGGGACUUUUACUGUCUGCAGAGAAAUAGGAAAAAUCAUAGGUAAAGGUCUUAGUUCUUUCUCUUCCUGUAUCGCCAGUACCACCCUCUGGUAUCUUCAAGUUUGUGAUUGUCGUUUUAUUUUUCUCCAUUGAAAUAAUAAACUUAGCAUUGAGAUCUUUCUCCCGGCGGUUCAUGGGCCGCACCCGCACGGCCACCUUCACCGAGGCCAUGACGUGCUCCGGCCCGGCCCGGC
This 1167-nucleotide long non-coding RNA is filed under the name Gallus gallus (chicken). Lineage: Eukaryota; Metazoa; Chordata; Aves; Galliformes; Phasianidae. The record is from RNAcentral.